UGGUGGGUUGCCUUGUCAGGUUGAUUCCGGUAACGAACGAGACCUCAGCCUGCUAAAUAGUCACAUCUGCUUCUUGCAGGUGGCCGACUUCUUAGAGGGACUAUUGCCGCUAGGCAAUGGAAGUAUGAGGCAAUAACA
Molecule: ribosomal RNA, 138 nt
Filed under: uncultured eukaryote
Lineage: Eukaryota
Description: partial 18S ribosomal RNA
Rfam family: Eukaryotic small subunit ribosomal RNA
Source: RNAcentral